RNAcentral lists this long non-coding RNA (2052 nucleotides) under Carassius auratus (goldfish). Its description in RNAcentral is "lncRNA (ENSCARG00000009033.1)". Lineage: Eukaryota; Metazoa; Chordata; Actinopteri; Cypriniformes; Cyprinidae. The record is from RNAcentral.
AUGUGUGUGUGUGUGUGUGUGUGUGUGAGCAGGUGUGGUGGAAGCGUGUGUUCUUCAUGGGCUGAAGCGACGGGCCGCUGGAUUCCUGCGCAGCAACAAGCUGGCGGCUCUCUUCAUGAAGAUGGGGAAGAUGUUUCCACCGGCCGAGGAACUCUGCAGGAAAGUUCAGGAACUGGAGCAAAUCAUCGAGAACAAACAGAACCAGGGUCAGACGAGUCAAGAGAGCGUCCGGAAACCUUCCCGCUCUCUAAACCUGUCUCCGCUGGCCAUCAAACACCUGUGGAUCCGCACGGCCCUCACAGAGAAGCUCCUGGACAAAAUCCUCCUGUAUCUGGUGGAGAACAGCAGGUGAGGAAUUCACAAAUCAUCUCUCCAUUGAUGCACGGUUUGUUAGGAGGACAAUAUUUGAAAAUCUGGAAUCUGAGGGAGCAAAAAAAUCUAAAUAUUGAGAAAAUCAUCUUUAAAGUUUUUCAAUGAAUUCUUAGCAAUGCAUAUUACUAAUCAAAAAUGAAUAAGGGAGGUGUUUAUAAUCGUUACACUGGAAAUGGAAAACGUGAACUAGGCACUAGGCAGCAAUAUGUUACAAUGAACAUAGAUUCAUUUGAAUGAAUGAAAUAAAACUGAGCUGUUUCUAUUCAUAUUUUCAGCAAGUUUUAUGAAAGAGAAGCUCUGCUGAGAGAUCCAGUCGACGGCCCAAUCCUCGCAUCUUUGCUUGGUAUCAGUUUUCAAGCAUUUGUGUCUUGUAAUUUUUGAAGAAAAAUAAGCAAAAUCAACUGAACAUUAUAUAUACACUAAUAUUGAAAAGUUUGGGAUUAUUAAGGCUGCAUUAUUUUAUAAAAAUAUGGUAUAAAAUUGUGAAAUAUUAUUGGCAGUUUAAAAUAUCUGUUUUCUAUGUGAAUAUGUAUUAAACUGUAAUUUAUUUCUGUGAUGCUCCGCUGUAUUUUCAGCAUCAUUCCUCCAGUCUUCAGUGUCACAUGAUCUUCAGAAAUCAUGAUAAUAUGCUGAAAAAACAUUUCUGCUUAUUAUCAAUGUUGAAAACAGUUGUGCUGCACAAUAUUUUAGAGGAAAAUGUGAUGCUUUUUAAUUUUCACAAUUUACAAAUGAAUAAAAAGUUCAAAAGAACAGCAUUUAUUUGCAAUAAUUGUCACUUUUGAUCAAUUUAAUGCAUCCUUGCUGAAUGCAAAUAUUAAUUUCUUUCAUUAAAAAACAAAACAAGUACUGACCCCAAACAUAUCCAUUUUAAAAAGUAAAUUAAUGAUCAUUUUAAUUGCACUGUAUAUUAUUGUAUUGUGAUAUGAUGAUGCAUUGAGGGCUAGAUUAAUUUGAGGAUGUUUUUACGUAUGCUGUGUGUCUUUCAGUCGGCCCCUGUGCUCUGGAGUACACAAAAGCCAAGACGGCCAAUCAUUUCUGGACAGACCCCUCGGCUGAUGAACUGGUGCAGAGACACCGCAUCCACAGCGGACACUGCCGGCAGGAUUCCCCCACCAAACGCCCGGCGCUCGUGAGAUAACCUGUUCAACUGCUUGCACACUUUGCUUAACCCUUAGGUCCAUAGUGGACACAAAUGUCAAUGUCAAAAAAAAAAUACAACUGUCACUGAGCACAGAGUUAGGUUGGGUCUCAUUUUAAAGAAAACCCAUGGUGGAUUGGUGAAAAAAAAAAAAAAAUUUAUGAAACAUGUUGGACACUAUACCUGCUAGAAAAUCAAAGCCAUAAAUCCAAACAACUUGUGUUUCAAAUUUGAAGUUGAUAUCUCGAAAAAACGUUUUUGUUUUGGGGCGCAGUACUAAGUUUUCCCCAGUAGAUGCCAGCAAAACUCAAAUAUUACAAGCACACACACAAACCACAAACUCUGACAUCCAUACCAACACACCCACACAAUUUUAGUUGCAUUGUUUAUUCAGUUGGCUCUACAAAAUAGAAUAAAGCGAGUAUUUGUUUUAUAGGCCAAAAAAAUUCACCAUUUGGUAAAAAUGUAAAAAUAAAUAACAGCAGAAUGAAAGUCUGUUAACAAAAUGCCAUCCUUUUACAGUUAAAUGGCACUGCGAUUAA